RNAcentral lists this ribosomal RNA (465 nucleotides) under Methylomirabilis oxygeniifera (SeqCode). Its description in RNAcentral is "bacterial SSU rRNA". It matches the Rfam family "Bacterial small subunit ribosomal RNA", at positions 977 to 1434 of the family's 1533-position model. The record is from RNAcentral. Lineage: Bacteria; Methylomirabilota (SeqCode); Methylomirabilia (SeqCode); Methylomirabilales (SeqCode); Methylomirabilaceae (SeqCode).
GGGCUUGACAUCCCACGAACCUCCCAUGAAAGUGGGUCUUCUCUCCCACAAGGAGAGACUGGGUGACAGGUGUUGCAUGGCUGUCGUCAGCUCGUGUCGUGAGAUGUUGGGUUAAGUCCCGCAACGAGCGCAACCCUCAUCGCAUGUUGCCAGCGUAAAGUCGGGCACUCUUGCGAAACUGCCCGUGUAAGCGGGAGGAAGGUGGGGAUGACGUCAAGUCGGCAUGGCCCUUACGCCUGGGGCUACACACAUGCUACAAUGGCCGGUAACAGAGGGCAGCAAGACCGCGAGGUGGAGCUAAUCCCAAAAACCCGGCCCCAGUUCGGAUUGCAGUCUGCAACUCGACUGCAUGAAGGCGGAAUCGCUAGUAACCGCAGAUCAGCUAUGCUGCGGUGAAUACGUUCCCGGGCCUUGUACACACCGCCCGUCAAGUGAUCUGAGUCGGCUGUACUCGAAGUCGCUGAG